Molecule: ribosomal RNA, 254 nt
Filed under: uncultured bacterium
Lineage: Bacteria
Also listed under: 1 other name
Description: partial 16S ribosomal RNA
Rfam family: Bacterial small subunit ribosomal RNA
Source: RNAcentral
UACGUAGGGAGCAAGCGUUGUUCGGAUUUACUGGGCGUAAAGGGCGCGUAGGCGGCAAAUUAAGUCAGCUGUGAAAUCUCCGAGCUUAACUCGGAACUGUCAGCUGAUACUGAUCUGCUAGAGUGCGGAAGGGGCAAUCGGAAUUCUUGGUGUAGCGGUGAAAUGCGUAGAUAUCAAGAGGAACACCUGAGGUGAAGACGGGUUGCUGGGCCGACACUGACGCUGAGUGCGCGAAAGCCAGGGGAGCAAACGGG